Molecule: ribosomal RNA, 384 nt
Filed under: uncultured Rhodoferax sp.
Lineage: Bacteria; Pseudomonadati; Pseudomonadota; Betaproteobacteria; Burkholderiales; Comamonadaceae
Description: bacterial SSU rRNA
Rfam family: Bacterial small subunit ribosomal RNA
Source: RNAcentral
CCUUUAGAGAUAGAGGGUGCUCGAAAGAGAGCCGUAACACAGGUGCUGCCAUGGCUGUCGUCAGCUCGUGUCGUGAGAUGUUGGUUAAGUCCCGCAACGAGCGCAACCCUUGUCAUUAGUUGCUACAUUUGGUUGGGCACUCUAAUGAGACUGCCGGUGACAAGCCGGAGGAAGGUGGGGAUGACGUCAAGUCCUCAUGGCCCUUAUAGGUGGGGCUACACACGUCAUACAAUGGCUGGUACAAAGGGUUGCCAACCCGCGAGGGGGAGCUAAUCCCACAAAGCCAGUCGUAGUCCGGAUCGUAGUCUGCAACUCGACUACGUGAAGUCGGAAUCGCUAGUAAUCGUGGAUCAGAAUGUCACGGUGAAUACGUUCCCGGGUCUU